UAAUCCCUGUGGUGCAGGUGAUGCUCGCUGUUUCUAAUGAGCCAACACGAUCAUAACGGGGGCCGCUAUCCAGGCGUGGCACUGUACGCCCCUUGGGGCUCUGGGUCACCGGAAGGCUCCCACCUGAGUUCCUCAGGUUCAUAUGAUACUGAGCACACGGCAUUGCGGGGAUUAC
Molecule: non-coding RNA, 175 nt
Filed under: Chloroflexota bacterium
Lineage: Bacteria; Bacillati; Chloroflexota
Also listed under: 1 other name
Description: Chloroflexi bacterium (anaerobic digester metagenome) 6S RNA
Rfam family: 6S / SsrS RNA
About the family: E. coli 6S RNA was the first non coding RNA to be sequenced, but its function was unknown until recently.
Source: RNAcentral